Oryza sativa Japonica Group (Japanese rice) is the source of this 3153-nucleotide non-coding RNA. Lineage: Eukaryota; Viridiplantae; Streptophyta; Magnoliopsida; Poales; Poaceae. The record is from RefSeq and is a predicted model, not a curated record.
GAAAUCGUGUCCUGUUGCGAUUUCUCGAUUUCUCCUCGCCUCUUCCUCCUCUGCUCCUCCGGCAAGUCACGAGCCAUCCCCGACGCCGGCCGCCGCCGCUCCGCAUCAGCGCCGUCCCUCGCCGCCCUUCCGCACCAGCGCCUACCCUCACCGAUCCGGUGAUCCCCAUCCCCUAGAAACCCUAGCCCACAGCGCCGCCCUCACUCCACCUCUCCUGUGCGUACGCAUCUCACGAGCCGAGCGCCGCUGCCUCCUACUCGCCCCCUUUCCGUCCGUCUGCCUCCUUCCUUUCCGGUGCGCUCGACCCGGCGGGCCAGCGGUUGAGCUUGGCGCAGCACUCGAGUGGGAUGGCCGGCCGAGCGCUGGGGUUGGACUCCGCUGGCAUAGUGGUCGAUCCCAUCCGUCGCCGUCAACAUAGCUGCAUAAUCAGUUGGGCGAUUUUUGUUUGAUGUCCAUAGCUAAUCCUAGAAUUAGAAUUGUUCUUCGGUGAUUUUGUUCUUCGUUGAUCCUGUGAGUCUAUUAAUAUAUGAAAAACCAUAAGUGCGGUUGAUAAGGAACCUUGAGAAAGCUUGAUCUGUUGCUCAAAAACAUCCAGGACUACCACAAGCAUGUUCUGCUGGUACUGUACAGUGUACACAGACCUUGGCUGUAGGUACCUACGUUUUUUUUUUUAGAGAAGGGUAUUUUUUACCCAGCCUCUAUAUUCAACCGGAUAUAUACGGCCAUUGAAAUAGGGAACUUAGCCCCACAAACAACCCAAUCUGAAAUUCGCUCCAUAGAAGAUUUGAACUCAGGACCUUGGGGUACUACUCAGGUCACUGUAACCACUAGGCUGUAGGUACCUACUGAUCUUUCAGUAUCUAAUGCAGAAAGUGAAAGUGUUCCCAUCCAAAGUCAUUUACCAUAUGGUCAUUGAUUUCUGUAGAUGGAUUAUUUACUGCCCUCCUUAUUGCUGCCCUUUCUUGCUUCUCGAUAUUAUUUGUUCAUAUCAUUGUUUUGUUCUAUUUAUUUCUUUUUGCAGAUGUUAUUGAAAAAAUUAUUGCUGUCUCCAUCUCCAAUGCAGCAAUGAUAUCUACAAGUUCAUCAGAUUUUAGGAUGAGAAGAUUAGAGCCUAUAUUAUCCAAUAAAAUAAGAGCUCAUCUUCACAAAUGGAGUCACCUCAAGAUAUUCGGAUAAUGAUAGUUGAGCCAUGUCAUUUGGACACAACCAACAUCUUAAGCAAACAAACCUAUGAAAACAACAAUAAUCUGGUACACAACUGCACAUAUUUCUUUUUUAAAUAUACUGACGAGACAAGGAAAAUAUCCAUGUAACUGUAGAUAUCUUUUGGGAAAGGUAUACUAACAUAUCAUGAUUCCUCUUUGCUUCUCUAUUCUAUUACAGUGAACAUUGCAGGGUGUGGUGGUCUAAUUAUGUUCAGCUAAUAAGUCAUGGUAGACUUUUAUAAGUAUCCUUAAAAUUUGGAAUAUUCAGCGAAAGAAUCAUAUAUAUGACCCUUAUAACUACACCUUUAUGCACCAGGUAAUUCCACACACUUACUCUCUUUGAAUAGUUCUCAUAUAUUUAAUAGCUUGAUGUUUCAAGCGUGAGAAAAAACUUGGAUUUUCUGGACAAAAAAAAGCUAUAUACUUGUAUGCAUUGUGGUUGAUGUUGUCUUUGACUUACUAAUGGCAAACAUGAUUACAUGUUCUUGGAACUAAUUUUGAGUCAUGACUGAGCAGGGUAAUGUAUAUGCUGUAGUAAGAAUUGCAUUUAUUCGAGAUAGAGUAUACAGGUAUAUCCUAGAGUAAGAAUUGCAUUGCUGAUCUAACGAAAAAAAAAUUAUUUGACACGUUCUUUGUACUUUGAAUCAAUGAUGUUAAGCUUUUUUUGUAUACCACAAAUGUGCCUUGCAUGCUCUCUACAAUUAUAUGACAGUAACAAACUAGAGAAGAUGUUUGGGGUUUGCCUGUUGUGUUCACUGGAAUGAUUUUGUAGUUGAAAGUAAAUUUGAAGCUUUCAUAUAUAAGCAAGCUGUGAUGAUUCUUUAUAUAAUCUUAGUAUUAUGAAAUUUAACUGUUUGGCACAACCUUGUUGUCCUUGAGUCCUGAAAACUCCAGCAAAAUAUUGUUGUGAUUAGAAUUAGGUACAGGCAUCUGAUUAAGUUAUUGUAAAUCACAUCCACCAUCUGAUUUGGUGAAGGUAUCCCUAAAACAAACAACAUGGAUACAAAUUAAUCACCUUACAAAGGAUGAUUCCUCUAUCUUCACAGAGAAUGAUUCCUCUUAUCUUUACAAAGUUAAAAAAAAAAUACAUCACUUGCAGCAAAAAGAGUUUCUUCUCUACAUAGUUCAAAUAUAUUAUGCUGAAGAACAUUAUUAUAUAGUACAAUUUAUAUACUUUGGAGUCAUAUAUUAGUUUUGUGAAACAAUGAAGCAAAUGUAAUCCAUCUAAUAAAAUGUUUUAUGAUACCAUUUACUUAUUAUUUAUAUUAUUGCUUUUCUCAGUAUUUACUAUUAUAAAGGAUGUUGAUUCACUGUUUCUUAACUGCCUUAAUUUUCUAGGUUUUUACUUUAGAUGUUCCAUGACAACCAUAUAAUCAUUCAAUAUAUUACAUAAAUAUUUAUACUAUUAUUAUCCCAGAAAAGUAGUAGUGAAGAAGAGUAGAAAACACUGAUUAUCAUUUGAUUCAAACAAACAGUAAAUAAGCGCUCUGCCUGAUAACAUAUCCGAUAAAAACUGCAUACUUUUGUUAUAUGGAUUAUGCACAGCACUAACUUUUGGUGUAUUUAUAGCAGAUGCAUUACAUGUCCAUCGAGAAAAGCGACGAUUCAAAACCUAUACUCAUCUAGCUAGCUUAAUUUAUUAGAAAAUUGAAAUAGGGCUUUAUCAAAAGCUUUGAUCAUUUCAGGUCCUGAACAAUGUAUGUCUAUAUAAUAGACAGUUUAUAUUUAUAUAUUCAAUAAUCUACAAUAUGUCUAAGUACUAGACUAAAGUAAUGCAAAAUUAUGGUUACCUACUAUUGAGAUGGCUCUCAUAAAGUUCCAGUUUAGAUGUUCAAUUAUCAUUGAUUAAUCAAUUGCCGGCUUUAUCUAUUUACAUGCUGAAGUACUCCACUGUACUCAUUUCAAUGACUUUGUCAUAUACAUGUAACAUUUUAUUACAAUUUGUUCC